GAUGAACGCUGGCGGCGUGCCUAAUACAUGCAAGUCGAGCGAACAGACGAGGAGCUUGCUCCUCUGACGUUAGCGGCGGACGGGUGUGUAACACGUGGAUAACCUACCUAUAAGACUGGGAUAACUUCGGGAAACCGGAGCUAAUACCGGAUCAUAUAUUGAACCGCAUGGUUCAAUAGUGAAAGACGGUUUUGCUGUCACUUAUAGAUGGAUCCGCGCCGCAUUAGCUAGUUGGUAAGGUAACGGCUUACCAAGGCAACGAUGCGUAGCCGACCUGAGAGGUGGAUCGGCCACACUGGAACUUAGACACGGUCCAGACUCCUGAGGGAUGCAGCAGUAGGGAAUCGGGCGCAAUGGGCGAAAGCCGGACGGAGCAACGCGGCGUGAGUGAUGAAGGUCGUCGGAUCUUAAAACUCUGUUAUGAGGGAAGAACAAAUGUGUAAGUAACUAUGCACGUCUUGACGGUACCUAAUCAGAAAGCCACGGCUAACUACGGG
Molecule: ribosomal RNA, 497 nt
Filed under: uncultured bacterium
Lineage: Bacteria
Description: partial 16S ribosomal RNA
Rfam family: Bacterial small subunit ribosomal RNA
Source: RNAcentral